UCCAGCAGCCAUAUCGCCCUGCAGCAAGACUGGCCGCCCACUGAAGCUAAGCAGGGUUGAGCCUGGUCAGUACCUGGAUGGGAGACCUCCUGGGAAAACUAUGUUGCUGCUGGAA
Molecule: ribosomal RNA, 115 nt
Filed under: Sinocyclocheilus grahami
Lineage: Eukaryota; Metazoa; Chordata; Actinopteri; Cypriniformes; Cyprinidae
Source: RNAcentral